GACGAACGCUGGCGGCGUGCUUAACACAUGCAAAUCGAACGGUAAGGCCCUUCGGGGUACACGAGUGGCGAACGGGUGAGUAACACGUGGGUGAUCUGCCCUGCACUUCGGGAUAAGCCUGGGAAACUGGGUCUAAUACCGGAUAGGACUCCUGGCUUCAUGGUUGGGGGUGGAAAGCUUUUGCGGUGUGGGAUGGGCCCGCGGCCUAUCAGCUUGUUGGUGGGGCAAUGGCCUACCAAGGCGACGGCGGGUAGCCGGCCUGAGAGGGUGACCGGUCACACUGGGACUGAGAUACGGCCCAGACUCCUACGGGAGGCAGCAGUGGGGAAUAUUGCACAAUGGGCGCAAGCCUGAUGCAGCGACGCCGCGUGAGGGAUGACGGCCUUCGGGUUGUAAACCUCUUUCAGCUAUGACGAAGCGCAAGUGACGGUAGUAGCAGAAGAAGGACCGGCCAACUACGUGCCAGCAGCCGCAGUAA
Molecule: ribosomal RNA, 478 nt
Filed under: uncultured bacterium
Lineage: Bacteria
Description: partial 16S ribosomal RNA
Rfam family: Bacterial small subunit ribosomal RNA
Source: RNAcentral